RNAcentral lists this ribosomal RNA (301 nucleotides) under uncultured bacterium. Its description in RNAcentral is "partial 16S ribosomal RNA". It matches the Rfam family "Bacterial small subunit ribosomal RNA", at positions 509 to 807 of the family's 1533-position model. The record is from RNAcentral.
CAGCCGCCGCGGUAAAACGAAGGGUGCAAGCGUUACUCGGAAUUACUGGGCGUAAAGCGCACGUAGGCGGCUUUGUAAGUUAGAGGUGAAAGCCUGGAGCUCAACUCCAGAAUUGCCUUUAAGACUGCAUCGCUUGAAUCCAGGAGAGGUGAGUGGAAUUCCGAGUGUAGAGGUGAAAUUCGUAGAUAUCGGAAGGAACACCUGUGGCGAAAGCGGCUCACUGGACCAUAACUGACGCUGAUGCACGAAAGCUAGGGGAGCAAACAGGAUUAGAUACCCCAGUAGUCCCUGUCUCUUAUAC